GGCCCGGUGGCACAGUGGUAGUGCGUCUACAUACAAUAUAUAGAAAUGAGUCAUGACCAGACAACGCCGGUUCGAGUCCGGCCUGGGCCC
This is a non-coding RNA of Mycena rebaudengoi, 90 nucleotides long. Lineage: Eukaryota; Fungi; Basidiomycota; Agaricomycetes; Agaricales; Mycenaceae. The record is from the annotation of a GenBank genome assembly.